AUGAUCUUGAGUAUUAAGGGUGCUUAUAAAAGUUAAAAGGGAAUACAAUAACGCUUGUUCAAUACAAACCGUAAAAUGUAGCUGCUCCCGCAACUGUAAGAAGCUCGUUUAAGUGAAAAUGCCACUGGCUCAAGCUGGGAAGGCCACUUAAGCAUAGGCUCAGCCAGGAAACCUGCCUUUAAAUGUCAUCUCUU
Molecule: non-coding RNA, 194 nt
Filed under: Caedibacter sp.
Lineage: Bacteria; Pseudomonadati; Pseudomonadota; Gammaproteobacteria; Thiotrichales; Fastidiosibacteraceae
Source: RNAcentral